This 39-nucleotide ribosomal RNA is filed under the name Nia vibrissa. RNAcentral describes it as "partial 25S ribosomal RNA". Lineage: Eukaryota; Fungi; Basidiomycota; Agaricomycetes; Agaricales; Niaceae. RNAcentral also lists the same sequence under 1 other name. The record is from RNAcentral.
UUGUGACCUCAAAUCAGGUGGGACUACCCGCUGAACUUA